GAUGAACGCUGGCGGCGUGCCUAAUACAUGCAAGUCGAGCGAACGGACGAGAAGCUUGCUUCUCUGAUGUUAGCGGCGGACGGGUGAGUAACACGUGGAUAACCUACCUAUAAGACUGGGAUAACUUCGGGAAACCGUAGCUAAUACCGGAUAAUAUUUUGAACCGCAUGGUCCAAAAGUGAAAGACGGUCUUGCUGUCACUUAUAGAUGGAUCCGCGCUGCAUUAGCUAGUUGGUAAGGUAACGGCUUACCAAGGCAACGAUGCAUAGCCGACCUGAGAGGGUGAUCGGCCACACUGGAACUGAGACACGGUCCAGACUCCUACGGGAGGCAGCAGUAGGGAAUCUUCCGCAAUGGGCGAAAGCCUGACGGAGCAACGCCGCGUGAGUGAUGAAGGUCUUCGGAUCGUAAAACUCUGUUAUUAGGGAAGAACAUAUGUGUAAGUAGCUGUGCACAUCUUGACGGUACCUAAUCAGAAAGCCACGGCUAACUACGUG
Molecule: ribosomal RNA, 497 nt
Filed under: uncultured bacterium
Lineage: Bacteria
Description: partial 16S ribosomal RNA
Rfam family: Bacterial small subunit ribosomal RNA
Source: RNAcentral